RNAcentral lists this ribosomal RNA (623 nucleotides) under uncultured archaeon. Its description in RNAcentral is "bacterial SSU rRNA". It matches the Rfam family "Archaeal small subunit ribosomal RNA", at positions 146 to 774 of the family's 1478-position model. The record is from RNAcentral.
AUAAUACUCCAUAGAUUAGAGACACUGGAAUGUUCUUUAGUCGAAAGUUCUGGCGCCUUAGGAUGGAUCUGCGGUCGAUUAGGUUGUUGUUGGGGUAACGGCCCAACAAGCCUGUAAUCGAUACGGGUUGUGGGAGCAAGAGCCCGGAGAUGGAAUCUGAGACACGAUUCCAGGCCCUACGGGGCGCAGCAGGCGCGAAAACUUUACAAUGCAGGAAACUGUGAUAAGGGAACUCCGAGUGCCCGUAUACGCGGGCUGUCCAGGUGUUUAAAAAUCAUCUGAAGAAAGGGCCGGGCAAGACCGGUGCCAGCCGCCGCGGUAAUACCGGCGGCUCGAGUGGUGGCCACUAUUAUUGGGCUUAAAGCGUCCGUAGCUGGACCGAUAAGUCUCUUGGGAAAUCCGCCGGCUCAACCGGCGGGCGUCUAAGGGAUACUGUUAGUCUAGGGACCGGGAGAGGUGAGAGGUACUCCGGGGGUAGGAGUGAAAUCCUGUAAUCCCGGUGGGACCACCUAUGGCGAAGGCAUCUCACCAGAACGGGUCCGACAGUGAGGGACGAAAGCUGGGGGAGCAAACCGGAUUAGAUACCCGGGUAGUCCCAGCUGUAAACUAUGUGCGUUAGGUGU